RNAcentral lists this ribosomal RNA (569 nucleotides) under Bombina orientalis. Its description in RNAcentral is "partial 16S ribosomal RNA". It matches the Rfam family "Bacterial large subunit ribosomal RNA", at positions 1818 to 2602 of the family's 2925-position model. Lineage: Eukaryota; Metazoa; Chordata; Amphibia; Anura; Bombinatoridae. The record is from RNAcentral.
GCCUCUUGCAACUCACAUAUAAGAGGUAACGCCUGCCCAGUGACCAUGUGUUCAACGGCCGCGGUAUUCUGACCGUGCAAAGGUAGCGUAAUCACUUGUCUUUUAAAUAAAGACUAGUAUGAAUGGCAUCACGAGAGUUCAACUGUCUCCCCCACCCAAUCAGUGAAACUGAUCUCCCCGUGCAGAAGCGGGGAUAAAACCAUAAGACGAGAAGACCCCAUGGAGCUUUAAACUAAAGGCACUAGCUCUUAAUUUACCCCAAGGACAAAACAUUAAACCAGUUAAAGUGACCUGUCGUUUUCGGUUGGGGCGACCACGGAGAAAAACAAAUCCUCCGAGAUGAAAGGGUAAACCCUUAGCCAAGACCCACAAUUCUAAGCAAUAGAACAUCUAACGCACCGAUCCAAUCAAAUUGAUCAACGAACCAAGUUACCCUGGGGAUAACAGCGCAAUCUAUUUUCAGAGUUCAUAUCGACAAAUAGGUUUACGACCUCGAUGUUGGAUCAGGGCCUCCUAGCGGUGCAGCCGCUGCUAAGGGUUCGUUUGUUCAACGAUUAAAGCCCUACGUG